CUGUGAGCCACACAGCUUCCUGGAACUCUGGAACAUUGCAAUGUGAGAACUCCCGUUCUGGGCACCUCUGUGGGCCGCCCAGAACCCCCUCGGGAAGGGGAGAAGGAUACUUGCAGGAGAAGCUCCAGGAGGCCAGGAGGGGCCAACUCUUCUGCUUCCUGCUCUGCUGGGUGUUUGAAAAUAGGAACCCCCUGGAGUCUGGCCAGGGUGAAGCUUCUUCCAGUCAGUUCCCUGAUGAUCGCCUCCAAUUUAAUUUCCAUUAUCACCGAAGCCAUGGGCCCAUGAUAGCCGGUGACACUUCUGUGCUGGCCUCAGUUCUUUGCAGAAAGGAAGAGGAUUUAUGAGUUCGGAAGAUAGCUUCAGAGGGAACACCUCACAGCUCAGUUGAACCCAGCGAUACUUGGAGAUGUGCAGGCAGUGGAGCCAGGACAUCCCCCGGUCCACAGAAAGACUGGAAAGCAUGAAUGUCUGGACAGAGGAGGCAGAAGAGGCACGGAUACCAGGAGGGUAACACAGACUCCUUCUCCAAGCCCUCCAAGAGUCAG
This 545-nucleotide long non-coding RNA is filed under the name Heterocephalus glaber (naked mole-rat). RNAcentral describes it as "lncRNA (ENSHGLG00000039280.1)". Lineage: Eukaryota; Metazoa; Chordata; Mammalia; Rodentia; Bathyergidae. The record is from RNAcentral.